UAACAUCUUCGCCCAAACUUGUAAGACGCCCAAGAUCUGAGCGAAUGAAGUGUCUUACAGUCGCUCAGAACUAUGACCCUGUUCUCGUCCAAACCUUCGAAUCGCCCAAGAUCUUAGCAAAUAUAAGAAUGUUAUGGUUAUCCAGAAGUGCAGUUAUUGAGUAACCUUUAUCACGUUCCACGAUUCAAGGAGUUCAGUUGAAAAUGGCUGAACGACAAAGAGUAGUGGUAGCAGUUAGAGACAGCAGUUCCACGACAAGUUAGCCACCAUAAAGAAAGUGGGAAGUUAUAAAGCAAUCAAGCAAUUUCUAAGCGGUUGAUCAUGAAGAAAUCAUCAAGAGAAUAUAAAAGGAAGAGAAGACAUAGAGCAGAGGACCCCGAAUCAAACACUCUCAAACAGAGAAUAUAUAAUUUCAAUUUCUUAGUUUAGACUUAAAACAUUUUUUUCAGUACUCGUG
This 457-nucleotide long non-coding RNA is filed under the name Olea europaea (common olive). RNAcentral describes it as "long non-coding RNA (OEUR_LNC013368)". The record is from RNAcentral. Lineage: Eukaryota; Viridiplantae; Streptophyta; Magnoliopsida; Lamiales; Oleaceae.